UACGUACACCUGCUUCCAGAGAAAAGACUAGUCAAAGCUAGUCUCGCGCAGCCAGCCCCGGAUGUUUUCUAUUUGAACGCUAGGUCGAUAACAUGGCCUAUUUUAAUCGGGGAUGGUGCGAGACUACGUCAAAGCUGGACUAGUAGAUCUGCGAGCACUUCUUUCAGGUGCUAGCUAGAUGGAAUCGUGGUCCUGUCAGUUGUUUUGUUUAGGAACCAUUGGGGAUUGACAGUGUUCAAAGGGAAGUUGGCAAUUCUCUUCUGAAAGUCUUGCACAGUGAUUGAGAUCUGUUUGUCACUAAGUGCAGCACAGAGCUCCCGUACAAUGAAGCUGAUUACUUCACUACUCGACUACUUCACUACCCAACUACUUCACUACUCAACUACUUCACUACCCAACUACUUCACUACCCAACUACUUCACUACCCAACUACUUCACUACCCGACUACUUCACUACCCGACUACUUCACUACCCAACUACUUCACUACUUCACUACCCAACUACUUCACUACCCAACUACUUCACUACCCAACUACUUCACUACUUCACUACCCAACUACUUCACUACCCAACUACUUCACUACUCGACUACUUGACUACCCAACUACUUGACUACCCAACUACUUGACUAUCCAACUACCCAACUACUUCACUACCCAACUACCCAACUACUUCACUACUUCACUACCCAACUACUUCACUACUCAACUACCCAACUACUUCACUACCCUGCAACUACCUAGCUACUGCACUACCCAACUACUUCACUAUACCUAACUACUCGACUACUUGACUACCCAACUACCUAUAGCUACUCCACUACCCAACUAUAUAACUACUCGACUAUACCAACUGAACUACCUGGCUACUACCCAACUAAGUCUUAAAUGCUCAAACUACUCAGUUGGCUAUACCAUAGAUAGACACUCAGCAUAUACGUAUAUACGUGACCGCCCACCCUAGAUAUAUACUUUUUUUUACAUGUGACCUCAACUAGAGUCUACUCAGUUCUUUCCUCAUUCACUGAAAAUCGGCUGUCUUUGUUGACUACAACAUUACUGGCUACCAAUGGUAGUCAAAAGCUUGUCAUUUAACAAUCGUGCCAUAUCUAGGCUUGUGCACUUUCUACACAAAAUGUAUUUAUGUUAGGCAACUUGAACACCUGCAGAACCGUUUGAGUCAGUUAUACCUUCACUUCCUGCUGCUCCUGUGUGCCCUGUAUCUUUCUCUGGGUCUAGUAAGCCUCCUUUCCCUCUUUUUAGCUGUUUUUAAGGAUCCGCUAUUCAUAUCUUUAUCGAGUCACGUAGAAAUUGGUAAAGGAUCACGAGUCACAAAACAAAUAUCGUAUGCCGGUCCACGACAGACAUACAUACAUACAUACACCACCCCAUCCGGACCACGUGCAUGACUAACUAAGGGACUCGCUUCGCUCGCCCCAAUUAUCUAUACAUUAGGGUGAUGCAAGCGCCAUGGGGCAAGCGAUGCAUCCAACUCUGCUGAAAGAUAUUGUGCAAAUGACACCACAUCUUGUGGCAGGUUGAUGACAUGACCUGCGUAUUCAUAUUGUCCAAGUGGUAAUCGAUAGAUGGACAUUAUUGGCAUGCAUGACUGCAGAUAUAAACAGCAUCUUGGAUUGAACAGCAGAUUGUUCAAAUAGAGGCAUGUCAGGAUUCACUCUGUAUGCCUAUGCCUGCAUAUAUUGCUUCAAGCGUGCCUGUGUGGCCUCUGUAAGUGUAAUGAACAUUUAAUAAUGUUUGGCCACUUUCUGCUGGCUUGUGCGCUUUCUACACAACGUUUAUUUAUUUUAGGCAAACACCGUUUGAGUCAGUUACCUUCAUUUCCUGCUGCUCUUGUAUACCCUGUAUCUUUCUCUGGGUCUAGCAAGCCUCCUUUCCCUCUUUUUAGCUGUUUCUGAGGAUCCUCCUUAUCGCUAGAGUAAAGUAUCAAUCACCGGACGUCAUCAUAUGUCGGACACCGAUAUCGUCAAAACUACAAAAGAUACAGACACGAUUCAAAGACCAUUUUAAAGCUAAUCUGAAAGAAAACGCUGUCCGGUGGUAGCGAUGUCAGACCGAUUUUCAUUUUUGCUAUUUCUAACUCCUAUGUAUUACUAUCUCUUUUGAACACUCUAGGCAAACCAGAAAAACUUUACUGCACUGGAUUUGGUCAAGCGAAUGCAGAGAUACAGCGUUUUGAAGAACACUAGUCAGGGAAAAAUUCGUACAAAAAUUUACCGCAUUUUAAUGUACUUGGGCGGGACUUAUGAAAUUUGUUGUUAAUACCGGAAAUGAUCUUAAAGUUAGCAUAUCUGCUGAACCGCUUGGUCUAUUCUCUUUUAAAAAAGUAUGAAAUGGACACUCAGGACUCAGGAGUUAACAUUGUAACCAUUUGAUAUCUAUUAUGAAGUUUAUAAUGUUUCUGUAAUGUAUAUCUUUAUGAUGUCCCUAUAAUAGUAUGAUGUCUCCUGCUUCAGAGAGUUCUUUUGGAUUUAAAGUAACCAUGCUAUCUUUUCAGUAUAUUGUAUCAUGUUUCAGAACUCUCAUCAAUGUUCACCUUACGCUGGUAUCUGUUUCUUGAUCUUUAUAAGCAACUUUUCUGUCAAUUUCAUUUGGUCUAAAUAAUUCGUUUUUAGUGUGA
Molecule: long non-coding RNA, 2639 nt
Organism: Halichondria panicea
Lineage: Eukaryota; Metazoa; Porifera; Demospongiae; Suberitida; Halichondriidae
Exons: 2
Source: RefSeq, a predicted model, not a curated record